AGAGUUUGAUCCUGGCUCAGUAUCAACGCUGGCGGCAUGCCUAACACAUGCAAGUCGAACGAGAAAGUGGUAGCAAUACCAUGAGUAAAGUGGCGCACGGGUGAGUAACACGUGACUAACCUACCCUCGAGUGGGGAAUAACCCCGGGAAACCGGGGCUAACACCGCAUAACACCGCAAGGUCAAAUGCGUAAGCAGCUUGAGGAGGGGGUCGCGGCUGAUUAGCUAGUUGGUAGGGUAAUGGCCUACCAAGGCAAUGAUCAGUAGCCGGCCUGAGAGGGCGCACGGCCACACUGGAACUGAAACACGGUCCAGACUCCUACGGGAGGCAGCAGUGGGGAAUUUUGCGCAAUGGGGGAAACCCUGCCGCAGCAAUGCCGCGUGGAGGAUGAAGUCCUUUGGGAUGUAAACUCCUUUCGAUCGGGAAGAUUAUGACAGUACCGGAAGAAGAAGCCCCGGCUAACUCUGUGCCUUCCAUCCGCGGUAAUACAGUAGGGGGGCC
This 501-nucleotide ribosomal RNA is filed under the name uncultured Acidobacteriota bacterium. RNAcentral's name for it is "bacterial SSU rRNA". It matches the Rfam family "Bacterial small subunit ribosomal RNA", at positions 8 to 536 of the family's 1533-position model. Lineage: Bacteria; Pseudomonadati; Acidobacteriota. The record is from RNAcentral.